This is a long non-coding RNA of Eurytemora carolleeae, 314 nucleotides long. RefSeq lists it as uncharacterized. Lineage: Eukaryota; Metazoa; Arthropoda; Copepoda; Calanoida; Temoridae. The record is from RefSeq and is a predicted model, not a curated record. The transcript has 2 exons.
GAGCAGCUCCGGAGUUCUGAACCAACUCUGUACCAUCAAAAGGGGAUUUUAUUGAUAUUCUAAAAUCAGAAUAGAGUUAUCAUUUUCGAACCAAGUCCUGGACCAGAAAGUUCAUCUACACCUACAGCUUAAAGCAGUUCCCUACAGAAGCAGCAUUCUACAGUUCUGCUCCAGACUUCUCCCUGUUCUGAAGGCUCAUCAAUUCCAGUAGUUGAGAAGCUCUCUAAAUCCUCCCACAGAAACUAACUACACAGUAAAAACUCUCCUAUAUAUUCCGUAACAAGUUUUUACCAAUAAACAUUUUUCAACCCCCA